Pseudophryne corroboree (corroboree frog) is the source of this 894-nucleotide long non-coding RNA. RefSeq lists it as uncharacterized. Lineage: Eukaryota; Metazoa; Chordata; Amphibia; Anura; Myobatrachidae. The record is from RefSeq and is a predicted model, not a curated record. The transcript is spliced from 3 exons.
AGGAAAGACUUUUACUGUAUCAGGAAUUUAUCAUCCAAGUCGGUCACACCUCGUAUCAACACAGCACAGGACUACGUCACAUAGGAAACCGGCUCAUUCCGAAUCCGAUUCCAGUUAAUCACCAUGCAGCCUCUGCCGGCACUUCCCGGUGAUCAGUCAGGAAGCAAGCCCAGCAGACUGCUGUAUCACUGGCCGCAGCUCGGGUGGGUCCAAGAACUGACACAGAUAUUUGGAAAACUCAAGAGCACCGUUAACUUUUUCAAGUACAGAUUACAGAUGGAACAGCCCUGCGGAACAUGUGUGCGCUAUAUGUAAUAUCAUAAAGUGGAUGACAAUAUUAUAUGACGUUUACAUGACUCUACGGAUAAUCUCCCUCCACUAAAAUGACAGGCGCAGGCUCAACCCUGGAACAUUUUGGAAGGUCAUUUGUAAUUUGCUGAAGGUCAACAAAGCUCAGUUAAAGAUCUGCUCCCCCCAGCAAAGGGCCCAGAAAACAAUUGGAAGCCAGAAUUGUGCCGGAGUGAGAGACAGACACUGACAUUUGUAGUACAAGUUACAGGGAGCGAUACGUCUGCCAGGAACAAGUUAGUUCAAGUAAAGAUACAUGAGGAAACGUUUGCCUAGAAGAAAUAUUCUUGUCACGUAAAAAUCCCACUAUUAAUCAAAAAUCACAUUAGAGCCGGUGGAACGAAGCCUCCCUUACUGCUCUAUAAUAAUACCUCUAGAUAAGAUCAGGUUGGUAAUAGGACAUUCACUUGUCAGAGAAAGUUGCUCUAAAGUGGAGUCGAAAUUUGAGUUCCAGGGAGUCUAUUGACUCUGCUAAUAGCCUCGAUUAUGUAGCUUUGCUGAUUUAUUCUGUGUAUUUCUGUAGCACAGAGACAGCUUUAAUUGAAA